CGCGGGACGGCCGGCGCGGCCGUGCGUGCCGCUCCCGCCGGGACGGUGCUGAUCACCGGUACGACGCUGGUCUUCGCGUC
This 80-nucleotide transfer RNA is filed under the name Actinoplanes lobatus. RNAcentral describes it as "tRNA-Gly". The record is from RNAcentral. Lineage: Bacteria; Bacillati; Actinomycetota; Actinomycetes; Micromonosporales; Micromonosporaceae.